This 241-nucleotide ribosomal RNA is filed under the name uncultured fungus. RNAcentral describes it as "partial 18S ribosomal RNA". The stretch from base 74 to 241 matches the Rfam family "Eukaryotic small subunit ribosomal RNA", at positions 736 to 905 of the family's 1831-position model. The record is from RNAcentral. Lineage: Eukaryota; Fungi.
CGCCUUCUUGGUGUGUACUUACUCAACGGGGACUUACCUCCUGGUGAGCUGCGAUGUCCUUUACUGGGUGUCGUAGGGAACCAGGACGUUUACUUUGAAAAAAUUAGAGUGUUCAAAGCAGGCCUACGCCCGAAUACAUUAGCAUGGAAUAAUAGAAUAGGACGAGCGGUCCCAUUUUGUUGGUUUCUGAGAUCGCCGUAAUGAUUAAUAGGGAUAGUUGGGGGCAUUCGUAUUCCGUCGU